CCCGCAGGGGGCGGGCAGGGCAGCUGGCUUCCGGCUGCCCCCUGGCGCGGUGGUGGGGGUCGCGGGCCUGCGGGAGAGGACCCUGAGCUCCCCCGAGCCGGAAGCGUCCUGACCCGGCCGGCCGAGCCUGGCGGGUCGCCCUCUAUUGAGACGCCAGUCGGGCACGUUGGCUGCACGAAGAGCGCUACCAAGUGCCUCAGGAUUUUGAGCGGGGUCUCUCUUGCCUUUCCCUGAACAAGCCUUCCACCGCCAGAGCAUGUCCGGGGCGCGAAAAGAACCGGUGGGGGAGCGGAAAGCGCCUUGGCGUAGGAAGAGUAGAGAAUGAAUUCCUUCCGAUUUGCUAGCUCUGUGAUCUUGGAUCCCUUCCUUGCGCUUCUGCUCUGCUCUGUAUUGCCUUGCAGGGUGUAGUUUCUCAGGCUUCCAGGACAGCUGCCUUUCAGGCUUGGGUUUGGCCAAUGGGAGACAUCGGCAGGAGACUGGAAGUUAGGAGCCACACCACGCAGCUUGUGGGAUGUUCCCUGACCAGGGAUUGAACCUGGGUCCCCCCGGAAUUCUAACCACUAGGCCACCAGGGAAUUCCCGAUUGGUGCUUCUUUACCAAAGAUACAACUCUAGCCCUCUGUGAAUCCUCCUGCCUCCUAGAUAUAUGAAGAAUGAUAUAUGACAAAAAUCUACCUCAAGAUAUCAGCAUGCGGGAUCACAGUUCCCCAACCAGGGAUCAAACCCGAGCCCUCUGCAGUGGAAGCGUGGAGUCUUAACCACUGGACCGCCAGGGAAGUCCCCAGUGUUUGCUUUUCUAAACAACUGCAUUUUGGGGUUGUUUGUUACACAGCCUUGCCACAGCAAGAAGCUGAAUAGCACUCCAGACCCUGCAUUUUCUCCCCAAUCCCCUUGUUCUUUUUUGAAAAAAAUGUUAUAUGGCUGAGGGUGGCAUUAGGGGGACAAACCCUCUUGGUUUGCCUGAGUGAUUGAGGGGUUUCCUAGGACAUGGGGCUUGCAGGUUUUUUAAAAUAGCUUUAUUGAGAUAUAAUUUACAUUCCAUACAAUUCACUCAUUUACAGUGUACAAUUCAAUGUUUUUUUAGUAUAGUCACAGAGUUGUACAACUGUCACAACAAUCUAAUCUUAGAACAUUUUUGUCCCUCCUAAAAGAGGCUCCAGACUCAUCAGCAGUCACUAGCCAUUGUCCCCACCCCCCAUCCCACAGCAACCACUAAUCUACAUCCUGUCUAUAAAUUUGCAUAUUUUGGACAUUUCAUAUAAAUGGAAUCAUACAGUAUGGCCUUUUGUGGCUGAUUUCUUUUAAUUAGCAUGUUUCCUAGGUUCAUCCUUGUUGUAACAUGUAUCAGUGCUCCAUUUCUUUUUAUUGCUGGACAAUAUUCAGUUGUAUAUAUAGACCACAUUUUACUCAUCCCUUCAUCGGUAGUGGACAUUUGGGUUGUUUCCACUUUGGGGCUACUGUGAAUAGUGCUGCUAUGAACAUUUAUGUACAAGUCUUUGUUUGCACAUCUGUUUUCAGUUCUUUUGGGUGUAUGCCUAGGAGUGGAAUUGCUGAGUGAUAUGGUAAUUCUAUGUUUAACUUAUUGAGGAGCUGCCAAACUGUUUCCCACAGCUGCUGCAUGGUACAUUCCUACCAGCAGCGUAAGAGGAAUCCAAUUUCUCCACGUCCUUGCCAACACUUGUUAUUGUCUAUCUUUUAUAUUACAGCCAUCCUAGUGGGUGCACAGCGGUAUAUCAUAGCGGUUUUGACUUGCAUUUCCCUAAUGACUAAUGAUGUUGAACAUCUUUUCAUGUGCUGUUUCCCCAUUUGUGUAUCUUUGGAAAAAUGUCUAUUCAAAUUCUUUGCUUGUUUUUAAAUUAGGUUAUUACUCUUUGUAUGGUUGAGUUGUAAGGGUUCAUUAUACAGUCUGGAACCUAGACCCUUCUCUGAUAUAUGAUUUGUAAAUAUUUUCUAUUCUGUGGAUUGUCUUUUUACUCUCUUAAUUUGCAGCACAAAAGUUUUAAGUUUUGAUGUAGUCCAAUUUAUUUUUCUUUGGUCACUUUUGCUUCUGGUGGUGUGUCUACCAGCCUCCUUGUUCGUGGUCGACAUCCCGAAGCAGUUAUGGCAUUUUUUUCUCACUGAAACUGGAUGCCACCUACCUUGAAACUUUCCUCAACACUGUGCUAUAGGCAUUGUAGUGGUUAAAAGCCCAAGCUCUGGAGACAAACUGUGUGGGUUCAAAUGCCCACUAGUGCUACCACUUAAUGGUGGUGUUUUCUUCACCUGAGGGUCACUUGCCAGGUGAGCACAAUGCUGGGUGUAGGCGAGAGAAAUCAAGAAUGGGUAUAGACCAGGAGGAUAAUUAAUAUAGCUUAUCUUGUAUAUGCUCUUGUAAUGGAUUGGACUUAAUGGAGGGCCUGAACAGAUCUGAGAGUUCAGGAUGUGGACCAUACAGGAAACUCUGGUGCAUUACUUCACAUCUUCUCAGGCACACCUCUUUACCAGCCACUGUUGCCAACUUCGCACAGGUACAGCCCAACUGCACCUUGCCCAUACUUUGCACCUCUCACUUCUUGCUCUGGGGCUCCUCUGACUCCUCAGUGUGGGAUGCUUGGAGACCCACUCAGCACUAAUAUAUGCGCACCCUAGAAGAGGGUGGAAUGUAUGCCCCUGGGGCCAUCGUUGACCAACAGGGAUGGGAGCUAAUGAAUAAGUGCUUACACAUUUGUCCUUCACUUUGUUUCCCCAAGGAUACCAAAAGAAGGGGUGAAGGAUACUGAACAGGUAUAAACAACAGCUACCCACUUUUUCUACUAAAAAAGAAUCUAUAGAAGGAUCCCAGGAAUCUAUACGUGUAACGAGCCCUAUAGGUGACUCCCAUGCACACUAAACAAGUUUGCAAAACACUGAAUUAGGGCGUUUUCUGAAGGAAUUUACAUUAUAAGAGGAGCAGAGAUUACAGCCCUGGCACACUUGAACAUUCCCUCGCAUCACACAGAAAAGCACUAUAUGACUGUCUGUCUCCAUCUUCAUGGAUGCUUUUCCUCUUCUGACUUGGCAUUCCCGUCCUCAGGUGCACCAAGCAUGUAUACAUGAACUUCCUUCUUAGUCUCUAUGUAAGACAACUUCUCUCUUCCUAAGGAAGGCUCCAGCCCUCUUCCCCAGGAGGAGGUUUUCCUUCUGGGUUCCUUCCUGCAUCCUGUUGUCUGAAGAGAGCAGGGUCCUGGGCUUCAGCCGGAAGGGCAUUGAUGUUCGCUUCCUGCCAGCCCAGCAAGCUAUGGGUGAUGAACGGCCUCUAGGACCCAGAGCAAGGAUGCCUAUAGUGGGC
Balaenoptera acutorostrata (minke whale) is the source of this 3307-nucleotide long non-coding RNA. RefSeq lists it as uncharacterized. Lineage: Eukaryota; Metazoa; Chordata; Mammalia; Artiodactyla; Balaenopteridae. The transcript is spliced from 5 exons. The record is from RefSeq and is a predicted model, not a curated record.